RNAcentral lists this ribosomal RNA (455 nucleotides) under Streptococcus mitis. Its description in RNAcentral is "bacterial SSU rRNA". It matches the Rfam family "Bacterial small subunit ribosomal RNA", at positions 28 to 471 of the family's 1533-position model. Lineage: Bacteria; Bacillati; Bacillota; Bacilli; Lactobacillales; Streptococcaceae. The record is from RNAcentral.
GACGAACGCGGCGGCGUGCCUAAUACAUGCAAGUAGAACGCUGAAGGAGAAGCUUGCUUCUCGGAUGAGUUGCGAACGGGUGAGUAACGCGUAGGUAACCUGCCUGGUAGCGGGGGAUAACUAUUGGAAACGAUAGCUAAUACCGCAUAAGAGUAGAUGUUGCAUGACAUUUGCUUAAAAGGUGCAAUUGCAUCACUACCAGAUGGACCUGCGUUGUAUUAGCUAGUUGGUGGGGUAACGGCUCACCAAGGCGACGAUACAUAGCCGACCUGAGAGGGUGAUCGGCCACACUGGGACUGAGACACGGCCCAGACUCCUACGGGAGGCAGCAGUAGGGAAUCUUCGGCAAUGGACGGAAGUCUGACCGAGCAACGCCGCGUGAGUGAAGAAGGUUUUCGGAUCGUAAAGCUCUGUUGUAAGAGAAGAACGAGUGUGAGAGUGGAAAGGUCACAACU